UUGACCUCGGAUCAGGUAGGGAUACCCGCUGAACUUAAGCAUAUCAAUAAGCGGAGGAAAAGAAACCAACAGGGAUUACCUCAGUAACGGGGAAAGGGGGGGGAAAAAAAAAUUAAUGUUUUUAAGAGGAUAGGGAAAUGAAUAACAUGGAAUCAGAUUUUUUGGUAAUUUUGAAAAACCUAAAGAAAGAAAAAAAAAAGAU
Molecule: ribosomal RNA, 202 nt
Filed under: Cystotheca sp. SC-2017a
Lineage: Eukaryota; Fungi; Ascomycota; Leotiomycetes; Helotiales; Erysiphaceae
Description: partial 28S ribosomal RNA
Rfam family: Eukaryotic large subunit ribosomal RNA
Source: RNAcentral